UGGGCGAAAGCCUGACGGAGCAACGCCGCGUGGGGGAGGAAGGUCCUUGGAUUGUAAACCUCUUUUCUCAAGGGAGAAGAAAAUGACGGUACUUGAGGAAUAAGCAUCGGCUAACUCCGUGCCAGCAGCCGCGGUAAUACGGAGGAUGCAAGCGUUAUCCGGAAUCAUUGGGCGUAAAGCGUCCGCAGGUGGUAAUGUAAGUUCUUAGUUAAAGACAGAAGCUCAACUUCUGAAAGGCUAAGAAAACUGCAUAACUAGAGGCAGGUAGGGGUAGCAGGAAUUCCCAGUGUAGCGGUGAAAUGCGUAGAGAUUGGGAAGAACAUCGGUGGCGAAAGCGUGCUACUGGGCUGAGCCUGACACUGAGGGACGAAAGCUAGGGGAGCGAAAGGGAUUAGAUACCCCUGUAGUCCUAGCCGUAAACGAUGGAAACUAGGCGUAGCUUGUAUCGACCCAAGCUGUGCCGAAGCCAACGCGUUAAGUUUCCCGCCUGGGGAGUACGCACGCAAGUGUGAAACUCAAAGGAAUUGACGGGGGCCCGCACAGGCGGUGGAGUGUGUGGUUUAAUUCGAUGCAACGCGAAGAACCUUACCAAGGCUUGACAUCUGACGAAUCUCCUUGAAAGGGGAGAGUGCCUUCGGGAGCGUCAAGACAGGUGGUGCAUGGCUGUCGUCAGCUCGUGUCGUGAGAUGUUGGGUUAAGUCCCGCAACGAGCGCAACCCUCGUUUUUAGUUGCCAUCAUUAAGUUGGGCACUCUAGAGAGACUGCCGGUGACAAACCGGAGGAAGGUGGGGAUGACGUCAAGUCAGCAUGCCCCUUACGCCUUGGGCUACACACGUACUACAAUGGUCGGGACAAAGGGCAGCAAGCUAGCGAUAGUAAACGAAUCUCAUCAAACCCGGCCUCAGUUCAGAUUGCAGGCUGCAACUCGCCUGCAUGAAGGAGGAAUCGCUAGUAAUCACAGGUCAGCAUACUGCGGUGAAUCCGUUCCCGGGCCUUGUACACACCGCCCGUCACACCAUGGGAGCUGGCCACGCCCGAAGUCGUUACCCUAACCCGUAAGGGAGGGGGAUGCCGAAGGCAGGGCUAGUGACUGGGGUGAAGUCGUAACAAGGUAGCCGUACCGGAAGGUGUGGCUG
Molecule: ribosomal RNA, 1136 nt
Filed under: metagenome
Description: bacterial SSU rRNA
Rfam family: Bacterial small subunit ribosomal RNA
Source: RNAcentral